Non-coding RNA from Podarcis lilfordi (Lilford's wall lizard), 72 nucleotides. Lineage: Eukaryota; Metazoa; Chordata; Lepidosauria; Squamata; Lacertidae. The record is from the annotation of a GenBank genome assembly.
AGAGCUGUAGCUCAGUGGUAGAGCAUCAGUCUUGAAAGCAUAAGGUUCCAAGUUCAGUCCCUGGCAUCUCUG